Molecule: long non-coding RNA, 4882 nt
Filed under: Sus scrofa (pig)
Lineage: Eukaryota; Metazoa; Chordata; Mammalia; Artiodactyla; Suidae
Description: lncRNA (ENSSSCG00000054140.1)
Source: RNAcentral
CAGCCUUUGAAAGGAAUUAUUCAUGGCCCCUUGGAAUCAAGAUUUUCUUUCAGAGAAAAUAGCAAUUGUCAGAUUUGUUUUUCUUUUAGAUGUGUGAUGCUGGAAAUCCUCGCCACAGUUGCCCACACAGCUGGUUCCACUUGUGUGACUUUGCAUCAUAGCUCCUCUUAAUGGCAGUGCCACCUCCAUUGGCCUCUGCACCUCACUGAAGACUUAAUUUAGAAAAUUAACUCAUUUUGCACAGCUACUGAGCAGCUGUUUGGAGGUACUUCCUUCUAGUGACUUACAGCUUGAACUAGAUUGAGAGUUCCAAAUUGGCUCUUAUUUACCUCCAAAUUUCCUCUUAUUUAUCUCCAAAGUCAUAUAGCCUCUAUUAAAUUUGAUUCAAUAUACUUCAUAUACUUUUACUCUUGUUAAUGUUCAAAUGAUCACAUUUUCUGAAUCAAAGGUUGGAAUAUACUGUAUGAUAUAUGGUCCAAUUUGGGGGGCUAAUAUAUCUAGUAGAUAUAUACAUAUACACAGUAUGUAUAUAUAAACACACAUCUAUAUACUCACACACACAUAACAUAUAUGUUUUAAGUAUGUAGAGUUCAUACUUGGUUUGUUGCUAUACCUUUUUACUAUUAAGUGGAUGGAUCUCUUCCUCUUUAAGAUCUCAAUUUAAAAACAAGUUUAGUAUCCUUCAAAUUGUAGCACUGAACUUUUUUUUUUUUUUUGUCUUUUUGUCUUUUUAGGGCCGCACCCAUGGCAUGUGGAGGUUCCUGGGCUAGAGGUCUAAUCGGAGCUGUUACUGCUGGCCUACGCCAGAGCCACCACAGCAAUGCCAAAUCUGAGCUGAGUCUGUGACCUACACCACAGCUCACGGCAAAACCAGAUCCCUAACCCACUGAGAGAGGCCAGGGAUUGACCCCUCAACUUCAUGGUUCCUAGUCAGAUUUGUUUCCACUGAGCCAUGAUGGGAACUCCCAGCACUGAACUUUUGGCCCCAAAGUGGGUAAAUCUGAUUAGAAUAUAAGAGUUUUUAAUUAUUAAUAGUUAUUGAUAGUAAUGAUGAUAUAGGAGGAUGCAUUUAAAUUUGGAGAAAUAUUCAGAUAAGUGGCUCUAUGAUUGUUUAUUCUUGGUUCAUAAUAAAACAUAUCCAAGGGCUCUGUUAACUUUGGUUUGGGAUCAAACAGUUGUUUACUAAUGUGGCUUGGUCCUCCAUUCUUGGCAGAGAAUCCUCUGCCCUUAAAAAGAAUCACAGUCUCUGAGAUCUUGGUGAUAAGUAUUCAGAAGGGGCAUCAUCUGCCUUCCCAGGAAGAAGCCUGUGCCUUAUUUGUUCCUCUCUUUGUACUUGGGAUCCAACAAGUAGGGAUUUGUCGGGAGAGAAGUGUCUCCGCCUUUAGUCCUGUGAUCAGGUGUUGCUCAUCUGAGUGGGUAGAUUAGUGAUGCGUGAAUUACAAAAGUAGGUUUCCUUGGAAGCCCUGGCUUCUCUCAACAACUGGUUGAAGUUUUGCCUUAAGACUGUCCAGAAGAUGAAAGUAAAACUUAGUGAAAAAUUGGGGCUAUGUGAAAUUUUAGCGCCCAUUUAAUAUGUCUUUUAGAAGAGAUGGAAAUUUUGAGAACUUGACAAGAAUAUGCAUGAGUCCACAUACGCAGGUUGUGACAUGUGUGAGGUUGGAAGACUUGGGUAAGUAUAGGGACUGAAAGUUGUUUUCUUGGUCCUGUUAUCUCCCCACUUCCUCAUUCAGGUGUUGUACCCUGUUUUAAGCUCUAUCUUCUUUCUUUAAAUAUAUAGAUUUGGGUGGUUCAGAAUGUUAGUCCAUUUGAGUGUUGCGUAGUACCUUACAUUUCAUUAAUUUGUUGAGUAUUGUUUUCAAGGAGCAAUGAUGUUCUGAGAAUCUUUAAAGAUAUUCAUAGUUAAGGACAGAAUUCUUAGUAUUUGUGAAUUGUCUUGAGCAGUAAGAUCAUUCUAAGAACUAACUCUAAAGCAUGGGGCUGAAAGCAUCAAAACUUUUUACUAUGUUUUUAGGAUGUACUGCUUCUUUGUCAUGGGGCAGUUUCAAACUCUAGACUCCAGGCAAAGAUACAGGAGCUUGUGGAUAUAGUCUCAUAUAGCAAACAUUCACUUCGAUACAGGUUAUUCUGGGGCCCUAGCCAAGAUUUUCAUUUUUCUCUUACUUUGUCAAUUUUCAGAUAUACUGAAAGGACUUCACUAUACCUUCAUCUUUGAAUAAUAUAAAUCCUAAAGAUGAGGUAGUAGGAGGCUUUCACGUGCUGCAUACUUUUGUGGGCUGCAGGGAAUUAGUCUCUAGCAGUUUUCCCAAUGGGUCUCAUAAACAGUUAAUAGUUAUUAGUUGAAAAAAGCAGUCAUUUUGAAAGAUUGAGUUAAACAAAGUUAAACUAAUUUCUUUGCAAUGGUACUUCUUAGAGGCAACAAAAUGCUAAUGUGUACAGUGAAUUUCCAAAAGGUUGAUAUGUGGACUUUCAUUUUAAACAUAACGCCCCAUCCUCUACUCAUUUUAUUUCUUUGCACAGAAUCUCAUUGGAUUUUUAUUAUGCAGAACAAAAUUUGGUCAAUACUGUUUAUAGAAUCUAGAAAGGAUUAACUUUUGAAAAUUUAUGUUAAAAUUCUGUAAUAACUCUCUUGAGUCUGGGCUUCUAGGUCUGGAUAAGUGCUUCUAAAACUUUAAUAUGCAUGCAGAUUUGUUGGCUAGCCUGUUAAUAUGAAGAAUUUGAUUCAGUUGGUCUCAGUGGGGGCAGUGAUUUCGCAUUACUAACAAGCUCCCAGGUGAUAUUGAUGCUACUGACCUCAGGAACACACUUUGAGUGCUUAAGGGCUUUCCCAGGUGAAAAAUGUUAAAGCAGUCUCUGCUACCUGGAGCCUGGAGGUGAGCCGAUUAGAAAGUUGUGUCCUCUGGGAUUGGAAGUUUGAGCUGAGUAAGUAGUUUUUAGCCAGAUGAUCCAUUUAUAUGCUCUUUAUUUUUUCUUAAAAUUUUCCUGGCUCUGAGGGGUACACAUACACAUACACACACUCAUAAAUUUAGAAUAAAAUAGCAAAUACCUUUGUGUUUUGACACUUGCUGUGUGUAUCUUAAGUAUUCUAUGGCUUUUUGAGAAGUCCGAGGUAGGAGAGUGAAAGAGUUUGGGUCUCUCUUGUGUAAACUAUGACUUUGAAUGGUAAAAACACAUCUAGGAUGCCUAGUUAGUCCUAUUCAUUUAAUCCCUUACCUAUUUCUUCACUCAUGCACCCCAGCCUUGAGCAAGAGUCAACUGAGUCUAUAUGAAACUUAUUAGCCAUUCAGAGGGGGUUAUCAUUGCUUAAUCUAAGGCUGAGGUUCAUCUCUUGGACUAAAUCCAUUUGUUUCUUUUUCCAUAUUGAAACAGAUGUUUAUAGAAAGAUUCCAAGUCUGUGGUCUGAGCUUGAUGGAAAAUAGCAGAGCAACACAAUUGAUGAGUGAUGUGUGUGCUGGUCAUGGCGUGGGGGCGGGGGAAUAUCCUCACAGUAGUAGAACUGCUUAUUUGACGUCCCUGAUAAGGCAUGUGGUUAUGCUGAAACCACGUUGUCAACAGAUAACCUUUGCAUCCUAUGAUUUGGUUAUCAUCCAUUGUCAGAUACUUAAAUAUUGGUUAAAGCUAUUGUAAAAAUGAUUUGCGUCAAAUGCCAUUUUAUAAUUUUUUUAGUACUAAAAUUGCUCUUUAGGCUGUGUACCCAGAGUAACUGGGCCACAAUUCCAGCGAAAUAUCUGGAUUGUGCUAAAAAUAAAUGCAAUGUUAUGCCUUUAAGUCUCUUCUCAGUGCUUAGACUGAUUACCCCUCAAAUUCCUUAGUAACAAAUUCUUUGAAAUGCAGGGGCUGUUAUAAUGUAUUAAGAUUUAUUUGUAAUUAGAAACUCCUAUUUACAAGCAAUUGAUGGAGUCAUUAAAAGUCUUCAGUAAGUUAAACAUAUAUUUUGCAGUUUUGAUUACAAGCACUUUCUUCAUCAUUGUGAUGAAGUUAAACUUUUUUUUUUUUUUGUCUUUUUGCCUUUUCUAGGGCUGUUUCUGCGGCAUAUGGAGAUUCCCAGGCUAGGGGUCUAAUUGGAGCCCUAGCCACCGGCCUACACCAGAGCCACAGCAACACAGGAUCCGAGCCGCGUCUGCAACCUACACCUCACGGCGAUGCUGGAUCCUUAACCCACUGAGCAAGGCCAGAGAUUGAACCUGCAACCUCAUGGUUCCUAGUCAGAUUCGUUAACCACUGUGCCACUAUGGGAACUCCAAGUGAUGAAGUUAAACUUUUAGUCUAACCCUUGGAAAUGUCAAAAAUUUUAAAUUAAUUGAGUCUGAAUCAUGAUUUUGUUAUAUUCCUAGAACUGUAUAAUAAAGCAGUACUAAUAAUAACAAUCAGGAUUCCUCUUUCAUGCAUUACACUCAGUUUGUUGGAACAGAAGAGAUUCAACACAAUAUAAACGCCCACUGGAGGGGAAAAGCAUAUCCAAAAUUAUCCAGUGGUUUACUCAACCAUAAACUACAAUUUUUAGAGUGACAUAAAAUAUUCUGGGCACUUGUGCAUAUUCUGAUGUAUAUGUUCUUCUGAUGGUGGCAGUUGUAUAUUGUUUUGCUUUGUUUUGUUUUCUUGUUCCCCAUACAAAUCCAAAUAAGAGCUUUUCUGACUUGGUAGUAGAAAGUGAGGAUAGAGAGCUGGAUGAGCUAUUCCCCACUUCUGAGUUGUAUAUAAUGUGUUUGGCUACUCUGUGUUCACCUCUUCGUAAAUUUAGAUGGCUGGCUCUGGCUGCUAUAAGAAGGCAUGUAUCAUAGCUGUACAACAUAAGAAUGCAAAAUCUAUCACAGUUGUACUACUGUAAAUUCAGCGCCUAUUGCUAUAUAAUUACAAUGCUGCAUUUGAAGAAAAUAAAAAAGCU